This 1019-nucleotide ribosomal RNA is filed under the name uncultured bacterium. RNAcentral describes it as "bacterial SSU rRNA". It matches the Rfam family "Bacterial small subunit ribosomal RNA", at positions 355 to 1375 of the family's 1533-position model. The record is from RNAcentral.
UGAGGAAUAUUGGUCAAUGGGCGUAAGCCUGAACCAGCCAAGUAGCGUGAGGGAAGACUGCCCUAUGGGUUGUAAACCUCUUUUGUGCGGGGAUAAAGUGUGGGACGUGUCCCAUAUUGCAGGUACCGCACGAAUAAGGACCGGCUAAUUCCGUGCCAGCAGCCGCGGUAAUACGGAAGGUCCGGGCGUUAUCCGGAUUUAUUGGGUUUAAAGGGAGCGCAGGCCGUCCUUUAAGCGUGCUGUGAAAUGCCGCGGCUCAACCGUGGCACUGCAGCGCGAACUGGAGGACUUGAGUACGCACGAGGUAGGCGGAAUUCGUGGUGUAGCGGUGAAAUGCUUAGAUAUCACGAAGAACUCCGAUUGCGAAGGCAGCUUACCGGAGCGCAACUGACGCUGAGGCUCGAAAGCGCGGGUAUCGAACAGGAUUAGAUACCCUGGUAGUCCGCGCGGUAAACGAUGGAUGCCCGCCGUUGGGAUUUAGAUUUCAGCGGCCAAGCGAAAGCGUUAAGCAUCCCACCUGGGGAGUACGCCGGCAACGGUGAAACUCAAAGGAAUUGACGGGGGCCCGCACAAGCGGAGGAACAUGUGGUUUAAUUCGAUGAUACGCGGGGAACCUUACCCGGGCUUGAAUUGCAGGAGAACGAUCCAGAGAUGGUGAGGCCCUUCGGGGCUCCUGUGAAGGUGCUGCAUGGUUGUCGUCAGCUCGUGCCGUGAGGUGUCGGCUCAAGUGCCAUAACGAGCGCAACCCCUGUCCAUAGUUGCCAUCAGGUCGUGCUGGGCACUCUGUGGAGACUGCCGCCGUAAGGUGUGAGGAAGGUGGGGAUGACGUCAAAUCAGCACGGCCCUUACGUCCGGGGCUACACACGUGUUACAAUGGGGCAUACAGCGAGUUGGAUGUGCGCAAGUACGUCCGGAUCAAUAAAGUGCCUCUCAGUUCGGACUGGGGUCUGCAACCCGACCCCACGAAGCUGGAUUCGCUAGUAAUCGCGCAUCAGCCAUGGCGCGGUGAAUACGUUCCC